CGGGGCCUAUGCCCUGUGUGUCCUGUAUCAGAAGCAUGUACAUACUUACAGGAUCUUACCCGAUGAAGAUGAUUUUCUGGCAGUACAGACUUCUCAAGGCGUGCAGGUGAGACGCUUCAAAACACUGACUGAACUUAUCACGUCCUACCUCCAGCCAAACCAGGGCCUGGUCAGUACACUGCUGUAUCCUGUAGAGAGGGAGGACAAGAAGGAGACAGCCGAGGACAAGGACUACUCAGAUGGUGAAGAUGAGAAGCCACCUUUACCCCCUCGCUCUGCUUCUACCAGUUUCAGUGGCAGUGCUGGCACUUGCCUUAGUCCGGUCGCGCAAGAUGGAGCAGCAGACAG
Non-coding RNA from Chiloscyllium plagiosum (whitespotted bambooshark), 348 nucleotides. NCBI's taxonomy places the organism in Eukaryota, Metazoa, Chordata, Chondrichthyes, Orectolobiformes, Hemiscylliidae. The record is from RefSeq and is a predicted model, not a curated record.